This 943-nucleotide ribosomal RNA is filed under the name Lactiplantibacillus plantarum. RNAcentral's name for it is "bacterial SSU rRNA". It matches the Rfam family "Bacterial small subunit ribosomal RNA", at positions 546 to 1487 of the family's 1533-position model. The record is from RNAcentral. Lineage: Bacteria; Bacillati; Bacillota; Bacilli; Lactobacillales; Lactobacillaceae.
CNGAUUUAUUGGGCGUAAGCGAGCGCAGGCGGUUUUUUAAGUCUGAUGUGAAAGCCUUCGGCUCAACCGAAGAAGUGCAUCGGAAACUGGGAAACUUGAGUGCAGAAGAGGACAGUGGAACUCCAUGUGUAGCGGUGAAAUGCGUAGAUAUAUGGAAGAACACCAGUGGCGAAGGCGGCUGUCUGGUCUGUAACUGACGCUGAGGCUCGAAAGUAUGGGUAGCAAACAGGAUUAGAUACCCUGGUAGUCCAUACCGUAAACGAUGAAUGCUAAGUGUUGGAGGGUUUCCGCCCUUCAGUGCUGCAGCUAACGCAUUAAGCAUUCCGCCUGGGGAGUACGGCCGCAAGGCUGAAACUCAAAGGAAUUGACGGGGGCCCGCACAAGCGGUGGAGCAUGUGGUUUAAUUCGAAGCUACGCGAAGAACCUUACCAGGUCUUGACAUACUAUGCAAAUCUAAGAGAUUAGACGUUCCCUUCGGGGACAUGGAUACAGGUGGUGCAUGGUUGUCGUCAGCUCGUGUCGUGAGAUGUUGGGUUAAGUCCCGCAACGAGCGCAACCCUUAUUAUCAGUUGCCAGCAUUAAGUUGGGCACUCUGGUGAGACUGCCGGUGACAAACCGGAGGAAGGUGGGGAUGACGUCAAAUCAUCAUGCCCCUUAUGACCUGGGCUACACACGUGCUACAAUGGAUGGUACAACGAGUUGCGAACUCGCGAGAGUAAGCUAAUCUCUUAAAGCCAUUCUCAGUUCGGAUUGUAGGCUGCAACUCGCCUACAUGAAGUCGGAAUCGCUAGUAAUCGCGGAUCAGCAUGCCGCGGUGAAUACGUUCCCGGGCCUUGUACACACCGCCCGUCACACCAUGAGAGUUUGUAACACCCAAAGUCGGUGGNNNUAACCUUUUAGGAACCAGCCGCCUAAGGUGGGACAGAUGANUAGGGGUGAAGUC